Molecule: ribosomal RNA, 468 nt
Filed under: uncultured bacterium
Lineage: Bacteria
Description: partial 16S ribosomal RNA
Rfam family: Bacterial small subunit ribosomal RNA
Source: RNAcentral
GACGAACGCUGGCGGCGUGCUUAACACAUGCAAGUCGAACGGAAAGGCCCUGCUUUUGUGGGGUGCUCGAGUGGCGAACGGGUGAGUAACACGUGAGUAACCUGCCCUUGACUUUGGGAUAACUUCAGGAAACUGGGGCUAAUACCGGAUAGGAGCUCCUGCUGCAUGGUGGGGGUUGGAAAGUUUCGGCGGUUGGGGAUGGACUCGCGGCUUAUCAGCUUGUUGGUGGGGUAGUGGCUUACCAAGGCUUUGACGGGUAGCCGGCCUGAGAGGGUGACCGGCCACAUUGGGAGUGAGAUACGGCCAAGACUCCUACGGGAGGCAGCAGUGGGGAAUAUUGCACCAUGGGCGGAGGCCUGAUGCAGCAACGCCGCGUGCGGGAUGACGGCCUUCGGGUUGUAAACCGCUUUCGCCUGUGACGAAGCGUGAGUGACGGUAAUGGGUAAAGAAGCACCGGCUAACUACGUG